RNAcentral lists this ribosomal RNA (408 nucleotides) under uncultured Helicobacter sp. RNAcentral describes it as "bacterial SSU rRNA". It matches the Rfam family "Bacterial small subunit ribosomal RNA", at positions 51 to 484 of the family's 1533-position model. Lineage: Bacteria; Pseudomonadati; Campylobacterota; Epsilonproteobacteria; Campylobacterales; Helicobacteraceae. The record is from RNAcentral.
AUUCGUGAGAUACCGUCAUUACGAUGAAGCUUCUAGCUUGCUAGGUGGAUUAGUGGCGCACGGGUGAGUAACGCAUAGAUAACAUGCCCUUUAGUUUGGGAUAGCCACUAGAAAUGGUGAUUAAUACCAAAUAUUACCCUACGGGGGAAAGAUUUAUCGCUAAAGGAUUGGUCUAUGUCCUAUCAGCUUGUUGGUGAGGUAAAGGCUCACCAAGGCAAUGACGGGUAUCCGGCCUGAGAGGGUGAACGGACACACUGGAACUGAGACACGGUCCAGACUCCUACGGGAGGCAGCAGUAGGGAAUAUUGCUCAAUGGGCGCAAGCCUGAAGCAGCAACGCCGCGUGGAGGAUGAAGGUUUUAGGAUUGUAAACUCCUUUUGUGAGAGAAGAUAAUGACGGUAUCUCACG